CCCAAAAAACAUCAAGGUUUAAAAAACAUGAAACAGCAAAGGCAAAUAGAGCAAAACAAAAAAUCUAGAAGCUUCAAAACCAGACCCUUGCAGAAAACUCAAACCCUAAAUGGUAAAAAGACCUUCCAAUGAUUUUGGUGAACUAAAAAACAAGCUGGAAGGGGAUUGAGGUUACCUCUUCAAUAUUUCAAAAAUAGCCCCAACCCACAAAAUAGUGCACAAAAUCCAAGUUAUUAUGAUGGUUGUUGAAAUCGACGGUCUGCAUCUGCCAACUCUUUAGCUUCCAUCGAUGCAUCCUCAACCGAGAAGCAGACCUCAAGCGUCAUCAAGCCCUUCUUCGCCAAUGCAUGUGCAACAGAAUUACAUUUGCGCUUAGUAAAAUUGAAUCGACAACCAGAGAAAGACCCUGCCCAGACCUUUGUAUCCUAAGUAACCGAUCUUGUUUCUGAAUUGUCCCCGCUUGGAAAUGUUAGGUUCUUAAUUGUGAGUUUUGAGUCACUCUCCAAAAUAAUCUGUGAAAAACCCAUAUCAUAUGCAAACUAUAAUCCAUGGAGCACUGUUAUUACUUCUGCCACUGUAGCUGUAGUGACCAGCCGAGAAACCAAUGUCAACAUUCAUUUUUACCCAGUUCGAUGGAGGAGGGUUCCAGUGGAUCAUCUCACGCGGUCCUAGAUGUUGCAGAUUAUCUGUUAAGUCUCAAUAUUCACGGCCAUACCCUCUAAUGAAGCAAUUCGUAGUACGAGAAUAGCAAAGAAGAUUGUUUGGUUGAAAGUCAGAAAACAUCAAGUGUCUGCAUAUCCAAAAACACAAGUACGAAUCCGGUUAAGCCAAAGAAAUGAGAGAAGGUCUCAGUACCAAAGGGAAGGAACGUGUAGAGUAAAUAAAGCUCUAAAUAAAGAAAUCUGGUGAGUUCCUUCGAACCUUGAGUCUAAUAUCUGCGUUAUUUCGUUUAACCUUUAUCAUUGUACACCAGGUAAGUGGUUUUUUCCUUUGGCUCUGAUGCUCGUGUCUAAGGAAAUGCAUUUAAAAAGUCAGUGCAUGCAAAGGUAUAAACGGUUAAACAGACUCAAAAAUUUGAUAUAUACAUGAUGUAGAUACUCAUUCCUUGGUGCACAAGCUUUGUAUCCAGACUGGUGCAAGGAGGUAUCAGAGGGAUGUUGUGUAUGAUGAGUAAAAGAAACAUAGGAUAAUAUGUUUUGCGUCCGUUAUGACACUCUGGUGCAAACCAUGACUAGUGAAAACCCGACCUUACAGGGGAACACAAGUGUGUGUUCAAAAACAAGAAAGAAUGUUAGGGGAUACGGAGGUGAUGAAUAGUAAAUAACUCUGAUAAGUGGUAUGAAGGUAUAGGAAAAUGGUUCCUCGAAACUAGGAUUAAAAGCUAGCUCAAAGAAGGGAGUAUGUAGGAAAAUAGGUGUAUGUGUGUAAAAUAAGCAAUGCACAUUGCAUGAAAUGUAAACAAUAAGCCUGACAGUUAAAAAGGGGUAGUCUGCAUAAGUGGCAUAUACAUGGAGCAAUUGUGUCUAUGUUUGUCACAUGCGAGAUUCCAAAAACAGUUAGUGUCUACCAGUAGGAUAAGUUUGAUCAUGGUAGUAUCCACCAGCAGAUACAUCAGAUCAGAUUGAGUUAUGUAUCCACCAAAAAUGGCAUGCUAGUCCGUUAGUUCGAGUUUAACCUCUUUAUGUCUGAUGGUGUUUUUAAGGGAUCCAUUUUUUGGGAACUCACUAAGUUCUUUCAAACUUACCUAGUUUCUUCUUCUUACUUUCAGGUUGUUAGAUGAAUGUGGUGAUAGUAAGGGAACAAUUAGACUAGCAACCCAUUUGUGAGCCUUUUUGAUGUUCUUUUAGUGACAUGUAAUUGUUGGGGGUAUUAAGACAAUUGUUAAAUGCCGCUAUUUAAAAGUCAUUGAACUGCAUUUUGAAAAUGAUAUUUUGUACUUGUGAAUGUUUAUCGGUGGCCUUUUCGGCGUAUUAUUAAUUAUGGUUUAUGGCAUUAUCAGAUUAAAUUGA
This is a long non-coding RNA of Gossypium raimondii (Peruvian cotton), 2009 nucleotides long. RefSeq lists it as uncharacterized. Lineage: Eukaryota; Viridiplantae; Streptophyta; Magnoliopsida; Malvales; Malvaceae. The transcript is spliced from 4 exons. The record is from RefSeq and is a predicted model, not a curated record.